This is an RNA transcript of Uloborus diversus, 2883 nucleotides long. It is a transcript of the gene named general transcription factor 3C polypeptide 3-like, with no coding region annotated. The transcript has 28 exons. Lineage: Eukaryota; Metazoa; Arthropoda; Arachnida; Araneae; Uloboridae. The record is from RefSeq and is a predicted model, not a curated record.
AGUUGGGUAGUUCAUUUCUGUCAAAGGUUUAAUAUUCAGAGAAACCUAUUUUUAAAGUCAAUUCAUUGUAACGUUUCAUACUCAUUGCGUGUUUUUUGGAAUCGGAACUAUGAAUUAUGACCCACUGGAAGGAACUUCUGAACUUUUUGCUUCAGUUUUGGGUGAUGUCCCCGAGGAGGAAUGGGAAUCGUUUAAAGAACAGCAGAGCAAAUUAGGAAUGCUUGUAGUUGGUUCUGACAGUGAAGAUGACAGUGAUUUCUCUGACAGAUCAAUAUCACCAACUGGUGAUGAAGAAUUUGUUACUAACUUUGAAGUAGUUGAAGAAGAUGUGAAUGAAAGUGGGAGUGAAGCAUCAGAUGCUGAAAGCUCAAAUGAAGGAACAUCAUGGGGCUGCGACGCUGCAUUUAAAUAUGUUAAUGGAGAAAUAUCUUUUUCUGAGCUAAGUGAGAUCAUUGAAAAUGAUAAGUUCAAAGCUCCACCUCGGAAGAAAAUGCGUAAAGAGAAAGAAGAAGUUGAACCAAGACCAUUAACACAGUUGGAAAAGGAAGAUCAAGAAUAUCAAAUGGAAUUGAAGAAUAAGAAAAAAAGAACCCGUAGAAAAAUGUGUCAUUUGCCCAAAGAAUUGGAAGGUCUAAUGGGAGCAGCAAAUCUCAAUUUUGCUAAAGGCAAUACAGAAGAUGCCAUAAAAAUGUGCAUGGAGCUAAUUCGAACAGCUCCCACUGCUCAAGAGCCGUUUCAAACACUGGGAGUCAUUUAUGAGGAAUUGGGAGAGCCAAAAAAGUCUUUUCAGUGUUAUUUGGUAGCAGCCUACUUGAAUCCUUCUGAUACAGAUGAAUGGAUUCGUUUAGCAGAAUUGUGCCUUGAGCAAAAUCAACUUCAACUAGCAAUAAGUUGCUACACCCAAGCUAUUCGUAAUGAACCAAGUAAUGUAAAUUUUGUAUGGGAGCGAUGUAAUUUAUAUGAGCAGAUUGGAGAUAGGAAAAAAGCUUUGCUUGGUUAUGAACAAAUUUUAAGGCAUUUAAGUAAUCCUGAAGAUGGUCAAACAUGUGUUGAUAUGUCCAGAGAAAUUGCAAAGGUUCACCAUGGAAAUAAUGACUUUGUCAAUGCAAUAAAAGUUUUGGAAACUGCAUUUAAUAAAUUUCCAUCUUUGAUUACAUCAGAAGAUGUGAAUUUUCUUUUGGAAUUGCAACUGUCUCAAAAAUUCUACAAAGCAGCUGUGAAGAAUUUUGUUCAACAUUGUGGUGUUAAACUUGAAGUGCCUGGGAAAGAAAUUAGUUCCUGUGAAGAAAUAUCUAAUUUCAGUGAGGAGGAUUUCAAUUCAAUUGCAAAGUGCUAUGUGCCCGAAGUCCUGCCAAUAGAUCUGUUUGUGAAAGUUCUUGUUUGCUUGAUUCAUUUGAAAGCACUAACAGCUGUAAAACCUAUGGUAGAAUCACUUAAGAAAGAAAAUGCUGAAGAGAUUGGAGAUUUGUUUUUGGAUGUUGCUGAAGCAUUCAUGGAUAAUAGUGAGCAUCAGUUGGCGACACCUUUACUGCAGAAACUGCUUGCAACUACCAGCUAUGAUUUGCCAGCAGUUUGGAUGAGGUAUGCAGAUUGCAUGUUUAUUACGUCAACUUUAGAAGAUGCAAUAAAAGCUUACCAAAAAGUCAUUAAACUAGCUCCUUCCUAUCAGGAAGCUCGUCUUGCUUUAUCUAAAAUCUAUCUGGAUAUGGGACAGGUUCAGGAAGCUACUAAUGUUUUAAGGCAAGAAUAUGAAGAAGGAGGAGAAGGAUCUGCUGUGGGUAUUGAAGCAUUAUACCAACGUUGUAAAUUGCUGGAAGCUGAAGAAAGAUGGGAGGAGUAUGUUUCUGCUGCAAUUUUGUUGCAGUACAGUCAUUGCGUAUACUUAGAAACAGACGAGGAAUUUAAUGCUGUUUUAACUAAUCAGACUUUAAAGAGAAAAAUUGAAGUUUUGAGGGAACUGAAAUCACAACCUAAGAAAUCUUGCCCUGAAUUUGUUGGACAAAAUAUCUCUGUUACAGAAAUGUGGGACAUCUUUCAGAAAGUGUGUCAGAAACUAUUAGAGAUGAAGCGUUUUGAGGAGCUGCAAACAAUUUCACUUUCCAUUUUGACAUCUUCUAUGUUUAUGAAAAAUCCAGAUUAUGUAAAGGAAAUUGAAUUUCAAGCUCUUCUAAGCUGUGUUUUCAAUAAGAGCCAUUAUUAUGCAUACAUUUUAGUGAAGGACUUAGUUUUGAAGCACAUCAAUAAUCCAAAGGCAUGGAAUUUGUUUGCUCUGAUUGUAACUUACUGCCAAGAGAAUAGGCAUAAUCGAUUUUGUCUCCGUUUGAUGAUGAAGCAUCAAGAUCAUUUAGCAUUAGGAGUUCUUAAUGGCCAUAACGCAAUGAUUUCUGGAACAUAUAAGCAUGCUCUAGGAGAAUACAUGUGCAUAUUAAAGGAAAGACCAAAUGAUGUUUUUGUUACGUUUUGUGUUGGAAUUACUUUUAUUCACAUGGCUUGUCAAAAGUUUGCUACUAAACGACAAUUUCUAAUGAUACAGGGUUUUGCAUUUCUUAGUCAAUAUUUAAAGCUAAAAGGUCCUUACCAAGAAACAUUUUAUAAUAUUGGAAGAGCCCUUCAUCAAUUAGGGAAAGUCACGUUCAAUUUGCCAAACCUAGUUCCUGUUACAUUAGCAACAUGUAAGGCUGCCAGAAGCUAAAAUUUUCAUUUUCAGAAAACAUGAAUCAAUGGGGUCAUUUCCAAAAAAAUUAAAGGUAUCAAAGAUGCUGCUGUCCACUAUUAUAAAAAAGCCUUAAUUGCUCCAGUUAUUAUCAAAGAUCAGGAAGUUUUCGAUCUUAGAAGAGAAAUUGCAUAUAAUUUGUGUCUAAUUUAUCAGUCAGUUGGAGCCAC